GGGGGUAUAGCUCAGUGGAGUAGAGCAUUUGACUACAGAUCAGGAGGUCACUGGUUCAGGUCCAGAUGCCCCCU
This is a non-coding RNA of Dicentrarchus labrax (European seabass), 74 nucleotides long. NCBI's taxonomy places the organism in Eukaryota, Metazoa, Chordata, Actinopteri, Moronidae. The record is from the annotation of a RefSeq genome assembly.